UUCUUUGGGCGUGGUAGAUUUGUAGCCGGAUUGCGGGCCACGUUAAACAUUCCGCUAAAGAGGUCAGGAUGUGAAGGAC
Molecule: non-coding RNA, 79 nt
Filed under: Phaeobacter sp. CECT 5382
Lineage: Bacteria; Pseudomonadati; Pseudomonadota; Alphaproteobacteria; Rhodobacterales; Roseobacteraceae
Also listed under: 1 other name
Description: Alpha-proteobacteria SAM riboswitch aptamer
Rfam family: Alpha-proteobacteria SAM riboswitch aptamer
About the family: This family is a riboswitch found predominantly in alpha-proteobacteria that binds S-adenosyl methionine (SAM). This SAM riboswitch is located upstream of the metA and metC genes in Agrobacterium tumefaciens, and other methionine and SAM biosynthesis genes in other alpha-proteobacteria.
Source: Rfam by way of RNAcentral